GUCGGACAUCAGGAGGUUAGUGCAAUGGCAUAAGCCAGCUUGACUGCGAGCGUGACGGCGCGAGCAGGUGCGAAAGCAGGUCAUAGUGAUCCGGUGGUUCUGAAUGGAAGGGCCAUCGCUCAACGGAUAAAAGGUACUCCGGGGAUAACAGGCUGAUACCGCCCAAGAGUUCAUAUCGACGGCGGUGUUUGGCACCUCGAUGUCGGCUCAUCACAUCCUGGGGCUGAAGUAGGUCCCAAGGGUAUGGCUGUUCGCCAUUUAAAGUGGUACGCGAGCUGGGUUUAGAACGUCGUGAGACAGUUCGGUCCCUAUCUGCCGUGGGCGCUGGAGAACUGAGGGGGGCUGCUCCUAGUACGAGAGGACCGGAGUGGACGCAUCACUGGUGUUCGGGUUGUCAUGCCAAUGGCACUGCCCGGUAGCUAAAUGCGGAAGAGAUAAGUGCUGAAAGCAUCUAAGCACGAAACUUGCCCCGA
This 473-nucleotide ribosomal RNA is filed under the name Salmonella enterica subsp. enterica serovar Typhimurium. Its description in RNAcentral is "partial 23S ribosomal RNA". It matches the Rfam family "Bacterial large subunit ribosomal RNA", at positions 2330 to 2802 of the family's 2925-position model. Lineage: Bacteria; Pseudomonadati; Pseudomonadota; Gammaproteobacteria; Enterobacterales; Enterobacteriaceae. The record is from RNAcentral.